Molecule: transfer RNA, 69 nt
Filed under: Heterocephalus glaber (naked mole-rat)
Lineage: Eukaryota; Metazoa; Chordata; Mammalia; Rodentia; Bathyergidae
Rfam family: tRNA
About the family: Transfer RNA (tRNA) molecules are approximately 80 nucleotides in length.
Source: Rfam by way of RNAcentral
GGAAAUGUAGCUCAGUGGUAGGGUGCUUGUCUAGCACUCAUAAGGCCCUGGGUUCAAUCCCCAGUACCA